GUCUGUGUGCAUUCAAAUGUCAUUUGGAGCCUGAACCAAUAAGAAGAGUCCUAUCAAUCCCACCAAUGGAAAGCAAAUCCUUAGGAAAGCUUUGAGAUCUCCUUCUGAGCUGCUGACUCAUUUCUCCCACCCAGCUUAACAUGUCCAGCAGCAGAAACCACAGAAAACAGUGGAUGAGAAUGGAAAUACAAUUAAUCCUAAGCACUGAAUAAAAUAAACAAAAGAGAAAAGCUUCCUUGGCUUAACAUGUCUUGCAGCAGAAACCACGGAAUACAAUGGAUGAGGAGAAAAAUAAAAUUAAUCCUAAUGACUGAAUACAAUAAACCAAAGAGAAAAGCAUCCUUGGACAGAGAAUUCCAGAUCCUGACAGUGAUCCAAGGUCUCUAAAGAAGAUUAUGGGGCUCCAUAGAUUGUGACAACGCUGACCAGUGAGCCUGAUGCUCAGAUGCUACACAUGCUGCCAGGCAGGACCAGGCUCAGACUGUGGACAGGCUACAGGACACUGGAGAAUUGAUUGCACCACCUUUGCC
This 530-nucleotide long non-coding RNA is filed under the name Cricetulus griseus (Chinese hamster). Its description in RNAcentral is "lncRNA (ENSCGRG00015033187.1)". Lineage: Eukaryota; Metazoa; Chordata; Mammalia; Rodentia; Cricetidae. The record is from RNAcentral.